Callithrix jacchus (white-tufted-ear marmoset) is the source of this 147-nucleotide unclassified non-coding RNA. It matches the Rfam family "Metazoan signal recognition particle RNA". From Rfam's summary of the family: The signal recognition particle (SRP) is a universally conserved ribonucleoprotein. It is involved in the co-translational targeting of proteins to membranes. The eukaryotic SRP consists of a 300-nucleotide 7S RNA and six proteins: SRPs 72, 68, 54, 19, 14, and 9. NCBI's taxonomy places the organism in Eukaryota, Metazoa, Chordata, Mammalia, Primates, Cebidae. The record is from Ensembl.
GCCAGGCAUGGCGGUGCAUGCCUGCAGUCCAAGCUACGUGGGAGGCUGAGGUGGGAGGAUUGCUUGAGCCCAGGAGUUCAAGACUGCAGUGUGCUAUGAUUGUGCUUCACACUCUAGCCUGGGCUAUAGAGUAAGACCCUGUCUCAG